This 449-nucleotide long non-coding RNA is filed under the name Mytilus galloprovincialis (Mediterranean mussel). Lineage: Eukaryota; Metazoa; Mollusca; Bivalvia; Mytilida; Mytilidae. The record is from RNAcentral.
AUGAGUCUGCGUUUCAUGGUUUGCUGAUUACAGAUUAUUUAAGUGAAAGCAUAUUCAGGACAGAACGAGUCUUAUGUUGUCUUAGCUUCCCUUUGGAUAUUUAUUUUCUGGUAUUUGCUUGUGUAUUUGGUAUAUAAAUCCUACUACAGGUUUGGAAAUACUGAAAUAGAUCUGUUUUAAAAGUCUGUUAUUUUUGUGGUGUCGUACUUGAAACGACCACACUUGUUGGGUCGGGCUAUUUACAUUUGGUCUGUCUGUCUGUCUGUCUGCCCUUUUAUUAUUUGUUUACCUUUAGGUUUAUGGGAAAUGUUUUAGUUUUACUCCAACCCAUACAGAUCUAUAAUAUAGAAUUAGUGUAGGACGGUACUUCACACUUGAGCAAUAAAAAUACCUAGACAUAUUUUUAGAGGUGCAGUAUAUUACUCGGCUACUACCCUAACUGUAGUGUU